RNAcentral lists this ribosomal RNA (465 nucleotides) under uncultured bacterium. RNAcentral describes it as "partial 16S ribosomal RNA". It matches the Rfam family "Bacterial small subunit ribosomal RNA", at positions 338 to 795 of the family's 1533-position model. The record is from RNAcentral.
CCUACGGGUGGCAGCAGUGGGGAAUAUUGCGCAAUGGGCGAAAGCCUGACGCAGCGACGCCGCGUGAGGGAUGAAGGUCUUCGGAUCGUAAACCUCUGUCAGCAGGGAAGAACGGUCACUGUGCUAAUCAGCAGUGAAUUGACGGUACCUGCAAAGGAAGCACCGGCUAACUCCGUGCCAGCAGCCGCGGUAAUACGGAGGGUGCGAGCGUUAAUCGGAAUUACUGGGCGUAAAGCGCUCGUAGGCGGUAUGUCAAGUCAAGGGUGAAAUCCCCGCGCUCAACGUGGGAACUGCCUUUGAAACUGGCAAACUGGAGUGUGUGAGAGGAGAGUGGAAUUCCAGGUGUAGGAGUGAAAUGCGUAGAUAUCUGGAGGAACAUCAGUGGCGAAGGCGACUAUCUGGCACAUAACUGACGCUGAGGAGCGAAAGCGUGGGUAGCAAACAGGAUUAGAUACCCGGGUAGUC